UGUCUCAGAUGGUAAAGAAUCUGCCUGCAAUGCAGGAGACCCAGGUUCAACCCCUGG
RNAcentral lists this transfer RNA (57 nucleotides) under Bos taurus (domestic cattle). It matches the Rfam family "tRNA", at positions 8 to 63 of the family's 71-position model. From Rfam's summary of the family: Transfer RNA (tRNA) molecules are approximately 80 nucleotides in length. The record is from Rfam by way of RNAcentral. Lineage: Eukaryota; Metazoa; Chordata; Mammalia; Artiodactyla; Bovidae. RNAcentral also lists the same sequence under 5 other names.